GAAUAUUGGGGCGUAAGGGCUCGCAGGCGGUUUCUUAAGUCUGAUGUGAAAGCCCCCGGCUCAACCGGGGAGGGUCAUUGGAAACUGGGAAACUUGAGUGCAGAAGAGGAGAGUGGAAUUCCACGUGUAGCGGUGAAAUGCGUAGAGAUGUGGAGGAACACCAGUGGCGAAGGCGACUCUCUGGUCUGUAACUGACGCUGAGGAGCGAAAGCGUGGGGAGCGAACAGGAUUAGAUACCCUGGUAGUCCACGCCGUAAACGAUGAGUGCUAAGUGUUAGGGGGUUUCCGCCCCUUAGUGCUGAAGCUAACGCAUUAAGCACUCCGCCUGGGGAGUACGGUCGCAAGACUGAAACUCAAGGGAAUUGACGGGGGCCCGCACAAGCGGUGGA
RNAcentral lists this ribosomal RNA (389 nucleotides) under Bacillus pumilus. RNAcentral's name for it is "bacterial SSU rRNA". It matches the Rfam family "Bacterial small subunit ribosomal RNA", at positions 547 to 936 of the family's 1533-position model. Lineage: Bacteria; Bacillati; Bacillota; Bacilli; Caryophanales; Bacillaceae. The record is from RNAcentral.